RNAcentral lists this long non-coding RNA (1256 nucleotides) under Castor canadensis (American beaver). Its description in RNAcentral is "lncRNA (ENSCCNG00000030269.1)". The record is from RNAcentral. Lineage: Eukaryota; Metazoa; Chordata; Mammalia; Rodentia; Castoridae.
ACGUCACUCCCUCUCCCCACACACACACCCGGACCUGGACCCGCCUCCACAACCACGCACUUCCGGCGACGCCUUGGUGCUGACAUCCACCCUGCCCACAAACCCAGCUAAGCCUAGCGGGCCAAGCACAGCGCCAUGGACGGCCGGGUGCAGCUGAUGAAGGCCUUCAUGGCCUGGCCCAUCCGGCACUUGGGGCGUCGCUGGAGGAACCCGAUUCCCUUUCCCGAGACGUUUGACGGCGACACCGACCGGCUCCCGGAGUUCAUCGUGCAGACCGGCUCCUACAUGUUCGUGGACGACAAGACGUUCUCCACCGACGCCCUGAAGGUGACGUUCCUCAUCACCCGCCUCACGGGCCCGGCCCUGCAGUGGGUGAUCCCCUACAUCGAGAAGGACAGCCCCCUGCUCAGUGAUUACCGGGGCUUCCUGGCCGAGAUGAAGCGGGUCUUUGGAUGGGAGGAGGACGAGGACUUCUAGGCCGCGAGAGCCCCUGGCCUGCGGCGGGUGCUCCGGGGAGGGUGGGCUGCGCCUGUCGCCGCCACCGCCACCGCCACCGCCAGGGUGGCCAUAGGCGGCCUCCCGCCGCGCCCCUCCCCCUUCGCGUGGCCGCUGCAAUGUCCCCUGCGCGCUGCUGUCCCCUCCCGCCCGCGUAGUGCUUGCCUUUGUUCCAGGAAUAGCGCUCCAGGCUCCCGCUGCUGCGGCCGCCGGGCCUCGCUCUGGAGCGCGUCGCCGCCGCCCUGUGCUGCCAGCCCGGCCCCUCCCGUGCACACUUGGACGCUGUCCUGGGCCCCAGCUGCAAGCUGGGCUCGCGUUACACACUGGACACACCACCCACGGCCGGCCGCUGUCAGCCGCCCCUGCCAUGCCACCAGCCUGCAUCAGUCUGCCCACACACCUGCGCUGUGCUGCCAUCACCAUCCACCGCACCCACCGUGCACCGCCAGAGGCUGCUCUUCGGGAUCCAGACUCACCUCGGAGGUACCUGAGCUGGCCUUCCACCUUCAGCGGGACCCAUGCCCUCUCCCCUCCCAGACACCUGUCGUGUUCCUGGCAGCCAAAUCCAGUCUCUCAUGUUCUCCUGUGGACCACUUACUUUUCCCCACAAUCCAGUUUUCUUCUGAAUUUGCAGCUGUCUGUCUGAUGUGUGUGCCUUUUGUUCGACACUGCAUUACAACCUUGCACUCUUUCCGGUUUACACUAUCUGUACAAAAAUGUUUUCCUUGCUUUCAAUAAAUGUCAGACACUAUUUAAGAAGA